ACUCUAGGACAUCAGCAGUUGAGUUAACAAGAUGCAUGCUUGCAUCAGGGACAGCUAACCCAUUUGGUUGGGUAGAAUUCCAGAUCCCAAGUGUGAUAUCUUUUUCGAGAACUAUCACUUGAGAGUAAAUCACGAACUUGUUCAUUGUAUAUCUCAACCAUUUGAACACCAACUUCAUAUUCUAUGGAGCUUUUCCUGCUCU
This 202-nucleotide long non-coding RNA is filed under the name Rosa chinensis. RNAcentral's name for it is "sRNA RchiOBHm_Chr7g0197641". The record is from RNAcentral. Lineage: Eukaryota; Viridiplantae; Streptophyta; Magnoliopsida; Rosales; Rosaceae.